AGAGUUUGAUCCUGGCUCAGGAUGAACGCUAGCGGGAGGCCUAACACAUGCAAGCCGAGCGGUAGAGAUUCUUCGGAAUCUUGAGAGCGGCGUACGGGUGCGGAACACGUGUGCAACCUACCUUUAUCUGGAGGAUAGCCUUUCGAAAGGAAGAUUAAUACUCCAUAAUAUAUUGAUUGGCAUCAGUUGAUAUUGAAAGCUCCGGCGGAUAGAGAUGGGCACGCGCAAGAUUAGUUAGUUGGUGAGGUAACGGCUCACCAAGACGAUGAUCUUUAGGGGCCUGAGAGGGUGAUCCCCCACACUGGUACUGAGACACGGACCAGACUCCUACGGGAGGCAGCAGUGAGGAAUAUUGGUCAAUGGGUGCAAGCCUGAACCAGCCAUCCCGCGUGAAGGACGACUGCCCUAUGGGUUGUAAACUUCUUUUGUAUAGGGAUAAACCUACCCUCGUGAGGGUACGCUGAAGGUACUAUACGAAUAAGCACCGGCUAACUCCGUG
RNAcentral lists this ribosomal RNA (499 nucleotides) under uncultured bacterium. Its description in RNAcentral is "bacterial SSU rRNA". It matches the Rfam family "Bacterial small subunit ribosomal RNA", at positions 8 to 507 of the family's 1533-position model. The record is from RNAcentral.